RNAcentral lists this ribosomal RNA (1273 nucleotides) under uncultured Sebacina. Its description in RNAcentral is "eukaryotic LSU rRNA". The stretch from base 598 to 1273 matches the Rfam family "Eukaryotic large subunit ribosomal RNA", at positions 1 to 655 of the family's 3401-position model. The record is from RNAcentral. Lineage: Eukaryota; Fungi; Basidiomycota; Agaricomycetes; Sebacinales; Sebacinaceae.
AAGUAAAAGUCGUAACAAGGUUUCCGUAGGUGAACCUGCGGAAGGAUCAUUAAUGAAACUUCAAAGUCGGCCAAAGGUUGUUGCUGGUGAUUAUUCACAUGUGCACRCCUUUGGUCGCAAAUCCACACACACCUGUGCAUCUAUGACUCGAGGUUGUAAUGACUGAGAGUAACUUUUAUACACUCUUGUAUGUAAUGGAAUGUCUUUUUGUGCUAUAAUGUACAAUAUAAACAACUUUCAACAACGGAUCUCUUGGCUCUCGCAUCGAUGAAGAACGCAGCGAAAUGCGAUAAGUAAUGUGAAUUGCAGAAUUCAGUGAAUCAUCGAAUCUUUGAACGCACCUUGCACCCUUUGGUAUUCCGAAGGGUACGCCCGUUUGAGUGUCAUUGUAAUCUCACUUCUACAACUUUAUUGUUGUUUGAAUGUGGACUUGGAUGUUGCCGUUUUAUCACGGCUCGUCUUAAAUGCCUGAGUGUACCCUGUUUUGCAGCGUAUCCAGUGUAAUAAACAUUUCACUAGAGUUGGUYGAAAGACCRCGUUGACUAUAUGGGCUCUAUGCUUCAAACCGUCUGCCAUGUGGACAAUUUCUUGACAAUUUGACCUCAAAUCGGGUGGGACUACCCGCUGAACUUAAGCAUAUCAAUAAGCGGAGGAAAAGAAACUAACAAGGAUUCCCCUAGUAACGGCGAGUGAAGAGGGAAAAGCUCAAAUUUUAAAUCUGGUGUCUUUGACUCCCGAGUUGUAAUCUAGAGAAGUGUUUUCCGUGUCGGACCGUGUACAAGUUCCCUGGAACGGGGCGUCAUAGAGGGUGAGAAUCCCGUAUAUGCCAYGGACUACCGAUGCUCUGUGAUACACUCUCAACGAGUCGAGUUGUUUGGGAAUGCAGCUCAAAAUGGGUGGUAAAUUCCAUCUAAAGCUAAAUAUUGGCGAGAGACCGAUAGCGAACAAGUACCGUGAGGGAAAGAUGAAAAGCACUUUGGAAAGAGAGUGAAACAGUACGUGAAAUUGUUGAAAGGGAAGCGUUUGAAGUCAGUCGCAUCUGUUGGGGUUCAGCCUGGCUUUUGCCUGGUGUAUUUCCUUUCCGAUGGGUCAGCAUCAGUUUYGACCGAGGGAAAAAGACAUUUGGAAUGUGGCUGUCUUCGGGCAGUGUUAUAGCCUUGUGUUGUAUGUCUCGGUUGGGACUGAGGAUUGCAGCGCGCCAUAAAUGGCCGGGGGUCGCUCCUCUCGACACGCGCUUAGGAUGCUGGCAUAAUGGCUUUAAGCGACCCGUCUU